CUACAGUUGGAAAGGCAAGUGGUCAGAGGUAGUGGCGACACUGAUGAUUACUACCAGGCCCCUCCUUCCCUUGGUGAUCAAAGAUACGUCACAAGUCAGGAAAGUGACCGCGGGGUGCGUCAAACCCGUGGAAGGAAAGCGAGGAAUGUACAAGAAAGUGAGGAGUCCAUGUACUUAGAAGUAAGGAGAUAAAAGAAUAGGCAUGCGGCACGAGACUGUGGCACCUGAUUAUAGAUGUACUGACCGAUUAACUUUGUCUUGACUUAUCCAUUUAUGAUUUUGUUAAUAUAUAUAGUAUGGAACGGCUGAAAACUAAUGUUUUCGUGAUCAGUAACUUUCUGUUUUUUCAAAAAAAUUUUUACAUGAUUGAAAUUGACGAACAAACAACAGAGAUUUAGAGGCUGUCAUUAGAGGAUAAAGUGUACAUUUAGACUAAACAAAUUUUAAAUCAAAGAUAAUAAACAAGAUUUAUAUUUCA
Molecule: long non-coding RNA, 478 nt
Organism: Actinia tenebrosa (Australian red waratah sea anemone)
Lineage: Eukaryota; Metazoa; Cnidaria; Anthozoa; Actiniaria; Actiniidae
Source: RefSeq, a predicted model, not a curated record